CAGUAGCCGCGGUAACACAGAGGGUGCGAGCGUUAAUCGGAUUUACUGGGCGUAAAGCGUGCGUAGGCGGCUUUUUAAGUCGGAUGUGAAAUCCCUGAGCUUAACUUAGGAAUUGCAUUCGAUACUGGGAAGCUAGAGUAUGGGAGAGGAUGGUAGAAUUCCAGGUGUAGCGGUGAAAUGCGUAGAGAUCUGGAGGAAUACCGAUGGCGAAGGCAGCCAUCUGGCCUAAUACUGACGCUGAGGUACGAAAGCAUGGGGAGCAAACAGGAUUAGAUACCCGAGUAGUCCCUGUCUCUUAUAC
Molecule: ribosomal RNA, 301 nt
Filed under: uncultured bacterium
Lineage: Bacteria
Description: partial 16S ribosomal RNA
Rfam family: Bacterial small subunit ribosomal RNA
Source: RNAcentral